This is a long non-coding RNA of Populus trichocarpa (black cottonwood), 1653 nucleotides long. RefSeq lists it as uncharacterized. Lineage: Eukaryota; Viridiplantae; Streptophyta; Magnoliopsida; Malpighiales; Salicaceae. The transcript has 4 exons. The record is from RefSeq and is a predicted model, not a curated record.
GCAGGCUUUUUUGUUCAAGGAUAUCAUUAACUAAUUGUUGUCUGAAAAAAACAGUUUAAUAUUGUAUAGAAAUCUACGUAUGUUAUCAUAUAUCGAACGCUCUCUGAAAAGCAUGCAGUGUAGGCUCUUCAAGAAUCUUUAUAUAUAUAGACCAAACCUCUCAGUUUAUUGCACUUGUCUCGAUAUAUCUAAAUCAUUGUAUCGUUCUCUAAGGUUAAUCAAAACCAUGGUGAGUAGUGGGUGCAAGAGAUCUCUCUCUCUUAGGGCAAAGGCCAUCUUCCUUUUGUUCCUGAUCCUUGUUGCCAGAGCUGCUCUUGUAGUUGCAGCUAGGCCAUCUAAUACCAUGACCAAGAAGCCAAGAUUUGGAGCGAGCAGCACCCAUUUUCCACAGUCUAACCGUCCAGUUCAACCAUCGGCUCCUAAUCCCUGCAGUUACAUACCUGGAAAAGGCGAAUGCAAACCUCCCAAGUGAUGCUUCAGUAUCGUCCAUCUCCGUCAAGCAUAUAGUUAUAUACAUGGUGUGAAGAAGACAAGUGGAGAGAUCGUCUGCAUGGAGAGUUGGUCCAAUUAUGAAUCCUUUAUUUGUAUGCAAAUUAAUGAUAUUUAAUAAUGAUUUAUUUCCCAAAUUUGGUGUAUCUGAGAAUGUAAGUUUUAUGUAGUUGUUAACAAUGCUAGCUUGAAUGAAUGUCCUUUUAACAUUUUAAUAGAUUAAACCACGUUGCUGGCAAUAUAAAUUUUGACAUUUUACAUCUUUGAUUUUAGAAUAAAAUAAAUAUAUUUCUGUAAUAAAUGAAUUUAUGUUUUUUUUAAAGAACAUGGGACAUGUCCCACUAGUCUUUACUAUCUCCAUUCUCUUCAUCAUUAAAUAUUGCAAUAUCAAUUUCUAAGCUUUGCAGGCAACAUAUUUUGUUACUGCUGCACGCUUGCUUUCAUCCGUGGCUUCGAGCUUGAUCUUAAGCAGUGAGUGGCCCAAUAGCAUUAAACCCAACUAGUAGAUAAUGGGUACCCAUCUUAAUGUAAGAGCCCAAAUACUUCACAGAGCAACCCAUAACCACCAAGAAACCCACGUAUAAAAUGCCCUGAUAUCAACACUCUAGGGUUAGGGUUUCUCCCUCAGUCAUCAGUAACAAGACCAAUCAGCAGCAGAAGGCAGAAGCAAGCGAAAAUGGAACUAAUAAAAAAAGAGAUGAGUAUCUUCAAGAGACCUCUCUUUCUUGGGUCAAAAUUCACCAUUCUUUUGUUUCUGAUCAUCCUUGCUGUUACUCUUGUGAUUGCAGCCAAGCAAUCAAAAUUCCGAGCAAGCAGCAUGUAUUCAAAACAAAGUAACCGUCACGUUCAGCCAUCAGGCCCUAAUCCUUGUAGUUACCUGCCCGGAGCAGGCCACUGCAAACCUCCUAAGUGAUGCAUGUUUCAUAUAUAUCAUCCAUCAGCACACACAUGCAUGGGAUCAUAUCGAUGAUGGAAGUGGAAAUUAACAAGUGGGCGAUAAAGAGUGUGCCAAGGAGAGUCGAUUUAAUGAGUCCUUUUGUAUGCAAAUUAGUGAUCCUUAAUGAAUAUAUAUUUUCCUAAUUCGUGUUGGUCUGUAGUUUUGGAUGUUACCGAUGUUUAAAUAUAUAUUCAUUAUUGAAUUAUGAUAUGUGAUAUUUUUAAAAA